RNAcentral lists this ribosomal RNA (264 nucleotides) under uncultured bacterium. RNAcentral's name for it is "partial 16S ribosomal RNA". It matches the Rfam family "Bacterial small subunit ribosomal RNA", at positions 95 to 354 of the family's 1533-position model. The record is from RNAcentral.
CCGGCGCACGGGUGAGUAACGCGUAUGCGACCUGCCCGUUGCAGGGGGAUAAUCGGGAGAAAUCCCGUCUAAUACCGCGUAACGCCGCGGGGCUGCAUGGCCCUGCGGCCAAAGGGAGCGAUUCCGGCAACGGAUGGGCAUGCGUGACAUUAGCUAGUUGGCGGGGCAACGGGCCCACCAAGGCGACGAUGUCUAGGGGUUCUGAGAGGAAGGUCCCCCACACUGGUACUGAGACACGGACCAGACUCCUACGGAAGGCAGCAG